This 468-nucleotide ribosomal RNA is filed under the name uncultured bacterium. RNAcentral's name for it is "partial 16S ribosomal RNA". It matches the Rfam family "Bacterial small subunit ribosomal RNA", at positions 28 to 507 of the family's 1533-position model. The record is from RNAcentral.
GACGAACGCUGGCGGCGUGCUUAACACAUGCAAGUCGAACGGAAAGGCCCUGCUUUUGUGGGGUGCUCGAGUGGCGAACGGGUGAGUAACACGUGAGUAACCUGCCCUUGACUUUGGGAUAACUUCAGGAAACUGGGGCUAAUACCGGAUAGGAGCUCCUGCUGCAUGGUGUGGGUUGGAAAGUUUCGGCGGUUGGGGAUGGACUCGCGGCUUAUCAGCUUGUUGGUGGGGUAGUGGCUUACCAAGGCUUUGACGGGUAGCCGGCCUGAGAGGGGGACCGGGCACAAUGGGACUGAGAUACGGCCCAGAAUCCUACGGGAGGCAGCAGCGGGGAAUAUUGCACAAUGGGCGGAAGCCUGAUGCAGCAACGCCGCGUGCGGGAUGACGGCCUUCGGGUUGUAAACCGCUUUCGCCUGUGACGAAGCGUGAGUGACGGUAAUGGGUAAAGAAGCACCGGCUAACUACGUG